Molecule: long non-coding RNA, 287 nt
Filed under: Nicotiana benthamiana
Lineage: Eukaryota; Viridiplantae; Streptophyta; Magnoliopsida; Solanales; Solanaceae
Description: long non-coding RNA (NBEN_LNC035590)
Source: RNAcentral
AUAGAGAGAAAAGUAGAGAGAGGAGUAUUCUUAUUAAUACUUUUGGGAUAAUUUACAAUGGGGUAAGACCCCUCUAUUUAUAGUAAGAUAAAAGACUUAGCCUUGAAGUAAGACUCUUCUUAUAAGAUAGACAUUCACCUUAAAUAGAGUUCUAUUUAUAACAAAAAUCAAGAUUUUUUGAAAAGCUUGAAUUUUUACUUUGUAAUAUUAAUAUGUCCAAAAGGGUAUGUGAAAAAGCAGGUUUUGCGUUAAAAGAAGUUGUACUUUUUAAUAAAGAUGUUUUUGUG